RNAcentral lists this unclassified non-coding RNA (272 nucleotides) under uncultured fungus. RNAcentral's name for it is "partial contains small subunit ribosomal RNA, internal transcribed spacer 1, and 5.8S ribosomal RNA". The stretch from base 1 to 73 matches the Rfam family "Eukaryotic small subunit ribosomal RNA", at positions 1759 to 1831 of the family's 1831-position model. Lineage: Eukaryota; Fungi. The record is from RNAcentral.
GCAAACUUGGUCAUUUAGAGGAAGUAAAAGUCGUAACAAGGUCUCCGUAGGUGAACCUGCGGAGGGAUCAUUACCGAGCGAGGGCGUCCGACGCCCGACCUCCCACCCUUUGUUGAUUAGACCUCUGUUGCCUCGGGGGCGACCCGGCCGUUCGGCUCCGGGGCCCCCGAUGGACCACCUAACUCUGCAUCUUUGCGUCGGAGUGAUGAAGUAAAUGAAUCAAAACUUUCAACAACGGAUCUCUUGGUUCUGGCAUCGAUGAAGAACGCAGC